UGGACAGUUAUUGCUAAACCAGCAAUUGAAAAAAUUGUUAUAGAAACAUGUGAAGCAAUAAAUAAGGUGCUUAAAAACUAGAUAAAGCUCCCGAUUAUUCCUCAUUGCAUUGGAGCUCUUGCUGAAAGUCAUGUAAAUAUUAUGUAACUCCCUGGAUGAUAUUUGGCUAAAUGAGAUAAGCCGCCCCCCCCUAAUGCCACUACACCAAUACACCACACAACACAACUCACCACACUUCUACA
Long non-coding RNA from Bactrocera latifrons, 242 nucleotides. RefSeq lists it as uncharacterized. NCBI's taxonomy places the organism in Eukaryota, Metazoa, Arthropoda, Insecta, Diptera, Tephritidae. The record is from RefSeq and is a predicted model, not a curated record. The transcript is spliced from 3 exons.